Ribosomal RNA from Phascolarctos cinereus (koala), 119 nucleotides. NCBI's taxonomy places the organism in Eukaryota, Metazoa, Chordata, Mammalia, Diprotodontia, Phascolarctidae. The record is from Ensembl.
ACAUGUGGCUAUACCUCUUUGAAAGUGUCUGACCUCACUUCAUCUCAGAAGCUAAGAAGGGUCAGGCUGAGAUAACAUGUGGAUAGGAGAUUGCCUAGGAAUGUUUGCUACUACAUCUG